Molecule: non-coding RNA, 22 nt
Filed under: Arabidopsis thaliana (thale cress)
Lineage: Eukaryota; Viridiplantae; Streptophyta; Magnoliopsida; Brassicales; Brassicaceae
Source: RNAcentral
UGUCCUAUUUCAUGCACCACUU